GUCCACGCCGUAAAACGAUGGAUACUAGCUGUUCGGAGCAAUCUGAGUGGCUAAGCGAAAGUGAUAAGUAUCCCACCUGGGGAGUACGUUCGCAAGAAUGAAACUCAAAGGAAUUGACGAGGGCCCGCACAAGCGGUGGAGCAUGUGGUUUAAUUCGAUGAUACGCGAGGAACCUUACCAAGGCUUAAAUGUAGAUUGACCGGUUUUGGAAACAGACUUUUUCGCAAGACAAUUUACAAGGUGCUGCAUGGUUGUCGU
Molecule: ribosomal RNA, 258 nt
Filed under: uncultured bacterium
Lineage: Bacteria
Description: partial 16S ribosomal RNA
Rfam family: Bacterial small subunit ribosomal RNA
Source: RNAcentral